RNAcentral lists this ribosomal RNA (253 nucleotides) under uncultured prokaryote. RNAcentral's name for it is "partial 16S ribosomal RNA". It matches the Rfam family "Bacterial small subunit ribosomal RNA", at positions 524 to 777 of the family's 1533-position model. The record is from RNAcentral.
UACGUAGGGGACGAGCGUUGUCCGGAAUUACUGGGCGUAAAGGGCGCGCAGGCUGUAGAUCAAGUCAGCUGUGAAAUGUCUGGGCUUAACCCGGGCAUGCGGUUGAGACUGCAGUGCUGGAGUGCUGUAGAGGCAAGUGGAAUUCCCAGUGUAGCGGUGAAAUGCGUAGAUAUUGGGAAGAACACCGGUGGCGAAGGCGACUUGCUGGGCAGCAACUGACGCUGAGGCGCGAAAGCCAGGGGAGCAAACGGGA